RNAcentral lists this unclassified non-coding RNA (263 nucleotides) under plant metagenome. RNAcentral describes it as "partial contains small subunit ribosomal RNA, internal transcribed spacer 1, and 5.8S ribosomal RNA". The record is from RNAcentral.
UUUCCGUAGGUGAACCUGCGGAAGGAUCAUUAUUGAAUAACCGCGGUGCGAGGCCUGUCGCUGACCCGAUAUGUCGUGCACGCUCGAGUGCCCUCAGUCACAUCCCUCUCACCCCUAUGUGCACCCCCGCGUGGGUCCCCCUUUGGCUCGUUCGGCGGGGGGCCUACGUGUUAGCACAAACUUUGUAUGCAGUGUAGAAUGUAUUUUUUGUUUUUGCGAUGACGCAAUCAAUAAAACUUUCAACAACGGAUCUCUUGGCUCUG